RNAcentral lists this ribosomal RNA (433 nucleotides) under uncultured bacterium. RNAcentral's name for it is "partial 16S ribosomal RNA". It matches the Rfam family "Bacterial small subunit ribosomal RNA", at positions 29 to 507 of the family's 1533-position model. The record is from RNAcentral.
AACGAACGCUGGCGGCAGGCCUAACACAUGCAAGUCGAACGAGACCUUCGGGUGUAGUGGCGCACGCGUGCGUAACGCGUGGGAACCUGCCCGUAGGCUCGGAAUAACUCCCCGAAAGGGGGGCUAAUACCGGGUAAUGUCUGCUGACCAAAGAUUUAUCGCCCUUGGAUGGGCCCGCGUUGUAUUAGCUAGUUGGGAGGGUAAAAGCCUACCAAGGCGACGAUCCAUAGCGGGUCUGAGAGGAUGAUCCGCCACACUGGGACUGAGACACGGCGCAGACUACUACGGGAGGCAGCCGUGGGUAAUCUUGGAAUAUGGGCGAAAGCAUGAUCCAGCACUGCCGGGUGAGUGAUGAAGGCCUUAGGGUUGUACAGCUCUUUUACACGGGAUGAUACUGACAGUACCGGGAGAAUAAGCUCCGGCUAACUUCGUG